This 433-nucleotide long non-coding RNA is filed under the name Bos taurus (domestic cattle). Its description in RNAcentral is "long non-coding RNA NONBTAT004146". The record is from RNAcentral. Lineage: Eukaryota; Metazoa; Chordata; Mammalia; Artiodactyla; Bovidae.
UUUCAUGCCAGAACAACUGGAAACAUUAGCAAAUAAGAUCAUUUAAUGAAAGGCUGGGGAAACUAUCAUUUAUAGUAUUUAUAGAAACCUAAACUACAGUUUAUAAGAAAUUAAAUAACUUGGGGGAUUCAAAAAAAUACCAAUAGCUGAACCAUGAAAAUAAAACUGACCCUUAAAAAUAGAAAAAGAUGUCAGAAAAAUAAAUUAGCCUCAAUGCUGUUUUUUUUGAUGUCAGAUUUGUUAUUAACAGGAAACCAUUUGCUUGUAAAGGAGCAAAAUUAUAACUCUUUAUCCCUGGAACCCACCUUCAGCCACCUCAGUGCAAUUUCUAGCAGCACUAUUUGGAUGCGAAAAGAACGCUGUCAUCAGUCAAUGUUCCUGAAAGCCUCACAGUCAGACCUUCCUUCAAAUACAUGUUCUUAAGGUCUUACUU